ACUCAAAUGAAUAGACGGGGGCCCGCACAAGCGGUGGAGCAUGUGGAUUAAUUCGAUGCAACGCGAAGAACCUUACCAAGGCUUGACAUGGAAAUGAAACACCUAGAGAUAGGUGCCCCUACGGGCAUUUCACACAGGUGGUGCAUGGUUGUCGUCAGCUCGUGUCGUGAGAUGUUGGGUUAAGUCCCGCAACGAGCGCAACCCUUAUCUUUAGUUUCCAGCAUUUAAGGUGGGCACACUAGAGAGACUGCCGUGGAUAACACGGAGGAAGGUGGGGAUGAUGUCAAAUCAUCAUGCCCCUUACGCCUUGGGCUUCACACGUGCUACAAUGGUCUUUACAAAGUGAAGCAAGACAGUGAUGUGGAGCGAACCACAAAAAAAGACCUCAGUUCGGAUUGUAGGCUGCAACUCGCCUGCAUGAAGUUGGAAUCGCUAGUAAUCGCGAAUCAGCAUGUCGCGGUGAAUACGUUCCCGGGCCUUGUACACACCGCCCGU
This 495-nucleotide ribosomal RNA is filed under the name uncultured bacterium. RNAcentral's name for it is "bacterial SSU rRNA". It matches the Rfam family "Bacterial small subunit ribosomal RNA", at positions 899 to 1397 of the family's 1533-position model. The record is from RNAcentral.